This 1050-nucleotide ribosomal RNA is filed under the name Enterobacter cloacae. RNAcentral describes it as "bacterial SSU rRNA". It matches the Rfam family "Bacterial small subunit ribosomal RNA", at positions 26 to 1067 of the family's 1533-position model. Lineage: Bacteria; Pseudomonadati; Pseudomonadota; Gammaproteobacteria; Enterobacterales; Enterobacteriaceae. The record is from RNAcentral.
AGAUUGAACGCUGGCGGCAGGCCUAACACAUGCAAGUCGAACGGUAGCACAGAGAGCUUGCUCUCGGGUGACGAGUGGCGGACGGGUGAGUAAUGUCUGGGAAACUGCCUGAUGGAGGGGGAUAACUACUGGAAACGGUAGCUAAUACCGCAUAAUGUCGCAAGACCAAAGAGGGGGACCUUCGGGCCUCUUGCCAUCAGAUGUGCCCAGAUGGGAUUAGCUAGUAGGUGGGGUAACGGCUCACCUAGGCGACGAUCCCUAGCUGGUCUGAGAGGAUGACCAGCCACACUGGAACUGAGACACGGUCCAGACUCCUACGGGAGGCAGCAGUGGGGAAUAUUGCACAAUGGGCGCAAGCCUGAUGCAGCCAUGCCGCGUGUAUGAAGAAGGCCUUCGGGUUGUAAAGUACUUUCAGCGGGGAGGAAGGUGUUGCGGUUAAUAACCGCAGCAAUUGACGUUACCCGCAGAAGAAGCACCGGCUAACUCCGUGCCAGCAGCCGCGGUAAUACGGAGGGUGCAAGCGUUAAUCGGAAUUACUGGGCGUAAAGCGCACGCAGGCGGUCUGUCAAGUCGGAUGUGAAAUCCCCGGGCUCAACCUGGGAACUGCAUUCGAAACUGGCAGGCUGGAGUCUUGUAGAGGGGGGUAGAAUUCCAGGUGUAGCGGUGAAAUGCGUAGAGAUCUGGAGGAAUACCGGUGGCGAAGGCGGCCCCCUGGACAAAGACUGACGCUCAGGUGCGAAAGCGUGGGGAGCAAACAGGAUUAGAUACCCUGGUAGUCCACGCCGUAAACGAUGUCGAUUUGGAGGUUGUGCCCUUGAGGCGUGGCUUCCGGAGCUAACGCGUUAAAUCGACCGCCUGGGGAGUACGGCCGCAAGGUUAAAACUCAAAUGAAUUGACGGGGGCCCGCACAAGCGGUGGAGCAUGUGGUUUAAUUCGAUGCAACGCGAAGAACCUUACCUGGUCUUGACAUCCACAGAACUUUCCAGAGAUGGAUUGGUGCCUUCGGGAACUGUGAGACAGGUGCUGCAUGGCUGUCGUCAGCUCGUGUUG